CUCUCUUCCCUUGCUCUUCUUCACGCCAUUUUCAUCCAUUUCCCCUUCAAAGAUUGGUUCUCAUUUCAUCUUCAAGAUUUCAAGUAAAGAUCCUUCUUUUAUUGUUCUUCAAGAAAGAUUAUGAUGAUCAAGAAGUGAUGGUUGCUAGGAUGAGCUUAGGAUUGAUGGUUGCUUGUGGAUUGUUAAAGCUCUAAGAGGUAUGGAGUAGAUUGAGCCGAGAGCGCGCUAGUGAUAGAUCUGCUUCCUUCUAUGCUUAGUCUAGUAGCUUGUUUAGACGUUUUCAGGCGUGCCUUGGAUUAUGUUUCCUGUAUUGACUCUUACAGCUGUCUUUAAUUUAUGGAUUGGUAUUAUGGAUUUUAGCCUGUGCAUCUAGAGUUGGAUUUGCCUAGAUGUGGCAUGGCACCCUGUUGAGUUUUAGUAUGCUUCCGCUUUAUUAUGAUGUUAGUCCUGAGAUUGCUAGAUUUUAUAUUAAGUUUAUGUC
Long non-coding RNA from Ipomoea triloba (trilobed morning glory), 481 nucleotides. RefSeq lists it as uncharacterized. The record is from RefSeq and is a predicted model, not a curated record. The transcript has 3 exons. Lineage: Eukaryota; Viridiplantae; Streptophyta; Magnoliopsida; Solanales; Convolvulaceae.